GAUUCUGGCUCAGGAUGAACGCUGGCGGCAUGCCUAAUACAUGCAAGUCGAACGGAGUGAAGCCUUCGGGUUUCAUUCAGUGGCGAACGGGUGAGUAAUACGCAGGGAACCUGGCCAUGGCAGGGGGAUACACUCUGGAAACGGAGCAUAAGACCCCAUAGGCAGUAAGGCGGCAUCGCCUUACUGUUAAAGAAAGCUGAAAGGCUUUGGCGAUGGAUGGACCUGCGGUGCAUUAGCUUGUUGGUGAGGCAACGGCUUACCAAGGCGAUGAUGCAUAGCCGGCCUGAGAGGGCGGACGGCCACACUGGGACUGAGACACGGCCCAGACUCCUGCGGGAGGCAGCAGUAGGGAAUUUUCGUCAAUGGGCGCAAGCCUGAACGAGCAAUGCCGCGUGAGUGAGGAAGGUCUUCGGACUGUAAAGCUCUGUUGCCGGGGAAAAAGGGGAAAUGCAGGAAAUGGCAUUUCAUGGAUGGUACCCGGCCAGAAAGCCACGGCUAACUACGUGCCAGCAGCCGCGGUAAUACGUAGGUGGCGAGCGUUAUCCGGAAUGAUUGGGCGUAAAGGGUGCGCAGGCGGUCUGUUAAGUCUGAAGGCAAAGGGAUGAGCUCAACUCAUUUAUGAUUCAGAAACUGGCAGACUUGAGGACAGGAGAGGGCGGUGGAACUCCAUGUGUAGCGGUAAAAUGCGCAGAGAUAUGGAAGAACACCAGUGGCGAAGGCGGCCGCCUGGCCUGUGACUGACGCUGAGGCACGAAAGCGUGGGGAGCAAAUAGGAUUAGAUACCCUAGUAGUCCACGCCGUAAACGAUGAGGAGCAGGUGUUGGGAGUGAAAUCUCAGUGCCGAAGCCAACGCAGUGACUCCUCCGCCUGGGGAGUAUGCACGCAAGUGUGAAACUCAAAGGAAUUGACGGGGGCCCGCACAAGCGGUGGAGUAUGUGGUUUAAUUCGAAGCAACGCGAAGAACCUUACCAGGUUUUGACAUCGGAUGCGAAGGCGCAGAGAUGCGCUGGAGGCUAUCAUCCAGACAGGUGGUGCAUGGUUGUCGUCAGCUCGUGUCGUGAGAUGUUCAGUUAAGUCUGGCAACGAGCGCAACCCCCGUGGUAUGUUACUAACGCUUUAGGGCGAGGACUCAUAUCAGACUGCCGGUGACAAACCGGAGGAAGGCGGGGAUGACGUCAAAUCAUCAUGCCCCUUAUGACCUGGGCUACACACGUACUACAAUGGCGUCUACAGAGGGAAGCGACCCUGAGAAGGGAAGCGAAACCGGAAAAGGGCGUCCCAGUUCGGAUUGAAGUCUGCAACCCGACUUCAUGAAGAUGGAAUCGCUAGUAAUCGCGGAUCAGCAUGCCGCGGUGAAUACGUUCCCGGGCCUUGUACACACCGCCCGUCAAACCAUGGAAGCCGGCAACGCCCGAAGCCGGUGGCAUAACCUUUUAGGAGUGAGCCGUCGAAGGCGGGGCCGAUGACUGGGGUUAAGUCGUAACAAGGU
Molecule: ribosomal RNA, 1489 nt
Filed under: uncultured bacterium
Lineage: Bacteria
Description: 16S ribosomal RNA
Rfam family: Bacterial small subunit ribosomal RNA
Source: RNAcentral